UGGGGAAUAUUGCACAAUGGGCGCAAGCCUGAUGCAGCCAUGCCGCGUGUGUGAAGAAGGCCUUCGGGUUGUAAAGCACUUUCAGCGAGGAGGAAGGUGGUGAGCUUAAUACGCUCAUCAAUUGACGUUACUCGCAGAAGAAGCACCGGCUAACUCCGUGCCAGCAGCCGCGGUAAUACGGAGGGUGCAAGCGUUAAUCGGAAUUACUGGGCGUAAAGCGCACGCAGGCGGUUUGUUAAGUCAGAUGUGAAAUCCCCGGGCUCAACCUGGGAACUGCAUUUGAAACUGGCAAGCUAGAGUCUCGUAGAGGGGGGUAGAAUUCCAGGUGUAGCGGUGAAAUGCGUAGAGAUCUGGAGGAAUACCGGUGGCGAAGGCGGCCCCCUGGACGAAGACU
RNAcentral lists this ribosomal RNA (394 nucleotides) under uncultured bacterium. RNAcentral's name for it is "partial 16S ribosomal RNA". It matches the Rfam family "Bacterial small subunit ribosomal RNA", at positions 355 to 741 of the family's 1533-position model. The record is from RNAcentral.